Molecule: ribosomal RNA, 497 nt
Filed under: uncultured bacterium
Lineage: Bacteria
Description: partial 16S ribosomal RNA
Rfam family: Bacterial small subunit ribosomal RNA
Source: RNAcentral
GAUGAACGCUGGCGGCGUGCCUAAUACAUGCAAGUCGAGCGAACGGGCGAGAAGCUUGCUUCUCUGAUGUUAGCGGCGGACGGGUGAGUAACACGUGGAUAACCUACCUAUAAGACUGGGAUAACUUCGGGAAACCGGAGCUAAUACCGGAUAAUAUUUUGAACCGCAUGGUUCAAAAGUGAAAGACGGUCUUGCUGUCACUUAUAGAUGGAUCCGCGCUGCAUUAGCUAGUUGGUAAGGUAACGGCUUACCAAGGCAACGAUGCAUAGCCGACCUGAGAGGGUGAUCGGCCACACUGGAACUGAGACACGGUCCAGACUCCUACGGGAGGCAGCAGUAGGGAAUCUUCCGCAAUGGGCGAAAGCCUGACGGAGCAACGCCGCGUGAGUGACGAAGGUCUUCGGAUCGUAAAACUCUGUUAUUAGGGAAGAACAUAUGUGUAAGUAACUGUGCACAUCUUGACGGUACCUAAUCAGAAAGCCACGGCUAACUACGUG